This 801-nucleotide long non-coding RNA is filed under the name Homo sapiens (human). Its description in RNAcentral is "HSALNT0349028". Lineage: Eukaryota; Metazoa; Chordata; Mammalia; Primates; Hominidae. The record is from RNAcentral.
UUGUGGCUUCUAAAUGCAAAAUGAGGCAGAACUUAGCUUGUCACAUAGGUGUAUUCUUCCUGGAACCGAUGCGGGGUCAGAAAACUGAUGGCUUUUAAGCAAGCUGGACGGGUCCUCUCAGCGCAUUCCCCCACCCGCCUGGCGCCAAUGGAGCUGGCCUGGCCCGCCCAGCCCCUCCCCGCCCCGUCCGCGCUCGGACCGGACUUUCAGGACUGCAGGGGAAAGGGUGGACACCCAGCCUCCCGCCAGGACGGCGGAGAUACCUUCAACGAGGAUACAAAAAUACAUCAGUUUGCAAACCAGAAGAAGGUCCUCACCAGAAACCAACUAUGCUGGCACCCUGAUCUUGGACUUCUAGCCUCCAGAACUGUGAGAAAUAAAUGUGUGUUUAUAAACCAGUCAGUCAGUCUAUGGUGCUUUAUUAUAGCAUCUGGAACGAGCUAAGACAGCUGCUAAGUAGCAUUCCAUUUGACAAGGAAGACUUACCAUUCACACUACUUCUGAGUUCAAUGAAAGAGAGGCUCGGUAAGUUUUAAAAAUCAAAUUUCAAUGACUUAGUCUAAUUCUCAUUAAUAAUUUAAAUUAUUUUUCUAAGAUAUGUUUUACAUCUUCUAAAAAUUUACCGGUUUGUUAUAAGCAUAUCCAAUUAAUGCUUGAGAUUUUACCUGAUUAGAUCUGCACUUUUACAUCCAACAUUUGCAGGAAGCUUCAUUCUACCAGUUCAAAUCCAGAUUUACAGGUAGUUAACCCAUCUGUUUUGGGUUUUUUUUCUGCUUCUAUUUCAUAGAAGGCUAGAGCUGC